AAUGGGCGAAAGCCUGACGGAGCAAUACCGCGUGAGGGAGGAAGGCUCUUGGGUUGUAAACCUCUUUUCUCAGGGAAGAAAAAAAUGACGGUACCUGAGGAAUAAGCAUCGGCUAACUCCGUGCCAGCAGCCGCGGUAAUACGGAGGAUGCAAGCGUUAUCCGGAAUGAUUGGGCGUAAAGGGUCCGCAGGUGGCUAUGUAAGUCUGCUGUUAAAUAGUCAUGCUCAACAUGAUAAAGGCAGUGGAAACUACAAGGCUAGAGUGCGUUCGGGGCAGAGGGAAUUCCUGGUGUAGCGGUGAAAUGCGUAGAUAUCAGGAAGAACACCGGUGGCGAAAGCGCUCUGCUAGGCCGCAACUGACACUGAGGGACGAAAGCUAGGGGAGCGAAUGGGAUUAGAUACCCCAGUAGUCCUAGCCGUAAACGAUGGAUACUAGGCGUGGCUUGUAUCGACCCGAGCCGUGCCGUAGCUAACGCGUUAAGUAUCCCGCCUGGGGAGUACGCACGCAAGUGUGAAACUCAAAGGAAUUGACGGGGGCCCGCACAAGCGGUGGAGUAUGUGGUUUAAUUCGAUGCAACGCGAAGAACCUUACCAAGACUUGACAUGUCGCGAAUCUUCUUGAAAGGGGAGAGUGCCUUCGGGAGCGCGAACACAGGUGGUGCAUGGCUGUCGUCAGCUCGUGUCGUGAGAUGUUGGGUUAAGUCCCGCAACGAGCGCAACCCUCGUUUCUAGUUGCCAGCAAUAAGAUGGGAACUCUAGAGAGACUGCCGGUGACAAACCGGAGGAAGGUGGGGAUGACGUCAAGUCAGCAUGCCCCUUACGUCUUGGGCUACACACGUACUACAAUGCUACGGACAAAGGGCAGCUACACAGCGAUGUGAUGCAAAUCUCAUAAACCGUAGCUCAGUUCAGAUCGAAGGCUGCAACUCGCCUUCGUGAAGGAGGAAUCGCUAGUAAUUGCAGGUCAGCAUACUGCAGUGAAUUCGUUCCCGGGCCUUGUACACACCGCCCGUCACACCAUGGGAAGUCGGUCACGCCCGAAGUCAUUACCCCAACCUUUAUGGAGGGGGAUGCCUAAGGUAGGACUGGUGACUGGGGUGAAGUC
RNAcentral lists this ribosomal RNA (1104 nucleotides) under Anabaena sp. Cirk B. RNAcentral's name for it is "bacterial SSU rRNA". It matches the Rfam family "Bacterial small subunit ribosomal RNA", at positions 370 to 1487 of the family's 1533-position model. Lineage: Bacteria; Bacillati; Cyanobacteriota; Cyanophyceae; Nostocales; Nostocaceae. The record is from RNAcentral.